UGUAUUUAUUAGAUAAAAAACCAAUGCCCUUCGGGGCUUUUUGGUGAUUCAUGAUAACUUUACGGAUCGCAUAGCCUUGCGCUGGCGACGGUUCAUUCAAAUUUCUGCCCUAUCAACUUUCGAUGGUAAGGUAUUGGCUUACCAUGGUUUCAACGGGUAACGGGGAAUUAGGGUUCGAUUCCGGAGAGGGAGCCUGAGAAACGGCUACCACAUCCAAGGAAGGCAGCAGGCGCGCAAAUUACCCAAUCCCGACACGGGGAGGUAGUGACAAUAAAUACUGAUACAGGGCUCUUUUGGGUCUUGUAAUUGGAAUGAGUACAAUUUAAACCUCUUAACGAGGAACAAUUGGAGGGCAAGUCUGGUGCCAGCAGCCGCGGUAAUUCCAGCUCCAAUAGCGUAUAUUAAAGUUGUUGCAGUUAAAAAGCUCGUAGUUGAAACUUGGGCCUGGCUGGCGGGUCCGCCUCACCGCGUGCACUCGUCCGGCCGGGCCUUCCUUCUGAAGAACCUCAUGCCCUUCACUGGGCGUGCUGGGGAAACCAGG
Molecule: ribosomal RNA, 541 nt
Filed under: uncultured eukaryote
Lineage: Eukaryota
Description: SSU rRNA
Rfam family: Eukaryotic small subunit ribosomal RNA
Source: RNAcentral